This 1400-nucleotide ribosomal RNA is filed under the name Branchinecta orientalis. RNAcentral's name for it is "SSU rRNA". It matches the Rfam family "Eukaryotic small subunit ribosomal RNA", at positions 98 to 1520 of the family's 1831-position model. The record is from RNAcentral. Lineage: Eukaryota; Metazoa; Arthropoda; Branchiopoda; Anostraca; Branchinectidae.
UCAAUAAAUCAGUUAUGGUUCCUUAGAUCGUACUAUCCUACUUGGAUAACUGUGGUAAUUCUAGAGCUAAUACAUGCACAAUAGCCCCGACCUUACGGAAGGGGUGCUUUUAUUAGAUCAAGACCAAUCGGACUUCGGUCCGUUUCUUGGUGACUCUGAAUAACUUUGUGCCGAUCGCAUGGUCUAGCACCGGCGACGCAUCUUUCAAAUGUCUGCCUUAUCAACUGUCGAUGGUAGGUUAUGCGCCUACCAUNGUUGCAACGGGUAACGGGGAAUCGGGGUUCGAUUCCGGAGAGGGAGCCUGAGAAACGGCUACCACAUCCAAGGAAGGCAGCAGGCGCGCAAAUUACCCACUCCCGGCACGGGGAGGUAGUGACGAAAAAUAACGAUGCAGGACUCAUCCGAGGCCCUGUGAUUGGAAUGAGUACACUUUAAAUCCUUUAACGAGGACCUAUUGGAGGGCAAGUCUGGUGCCAGCAGCCGCGGUAACUCCAGCUCCAAUAGCGUAUAUUAAAGUUGCUGCGGUUAAAAAGCUCGUAGUUGGAUAUCGGUCGCGAUCAGGUGGUGCCGCCUCGCGGUGUGCACUGCCUCGAUUGGACAAUCCACCGGACUGUCCGGGGUGCUCUUAACCGAGUGUCCUGGGUGGCCGGUACGUUUACUUUGAACAAAUUAGAGUGCUUAAAGCAGGUGCUCCGCGCCUGAAUAUCACAGCAUGGAAUGAUGGAAUAGGACCUCGGUCUUAUUUUGUUGGUUUUCUGGACUUGAGGUAAUGGUUAAUAGAGACAGACGGGGGCAUUCGUACUGCGACGCUAGAGGUGAAAUUCUUGGACCGUCGCAAGACGAACAACUGCGAAAGCAUUUGCCAAGAAUGUUUUCAUUAAUCAAGAACGAAAGUUAGAGGUUCGAAGGCGAUCAGAUACCGCCCUAGUUCUAACCAUAAACGAUGCCAACCAGCGAUCCGCAGACGUUACUUCAAUGACUCUGCGGGCAGCUUCCGGGAAACCAAAGUUUUUGGGUUCCGGGGGAAGUAUGGUUGCAAAGCUGAAACUUAAAGGAAUUGACGGAAGGGCACCACCAGGAGUGGAGCCUGCGGCUUAAUUUGACUCAACACGGGAAACCUCACCAGGCCCGGACACUGGAAGGAUUGACAGAUUGAGAGCUCUUUCUUGAUUCGGUGGGUGGUGGUGCAUGGCCGUUCUUAGUUGGUGGAGCGAUUUGUCUGGUUAAUUCCGAUAACGAACGAGACUCUAGCCUGCUAAAUAGAUGACGUAUCUUCGGGUACGUUACUCUUCUUAGAGGGACAAGUGGCGUCUAGCCAUAUGAAAGUGAGCAAUAACAGGUCUGUGAUGCCCUUAGAUGUCCUGGGCCGCACGCGCGCUACACUGAAAGAAUCAGCGCGU